ACUCCUACGGGAGGCAGCAGUCGGGAAUUUUGCGCAAUGGGCGAAAGCCUGACGCAGCAACGCCGCGUGAGGGAUGACGGCCUUCGGGUUGUAAACCUCUUUUGUCAGGGAAGAUGAUGACGGUACCUGGCGAAUAAGCCACGGCUAACUACGUGCCAGCAGCCGCGGUAAUACGUAGGUGGCAAGCGUUGUCCGGAUUUACUGGGCGUAAAGAGCGCGCAGGCGGUCGUCCAAGUCGCGUGUGAAAGCCCCCGGCUCAACUGGGGAGGGUCACGCGAUACUGAUCGACUCGAAGGCAGGAGAGGGUAGUGGAAUUCCCGGUGUAGUGGUGAAAUGCGUAGAUAUCGGGAGGAACACCAGUGGCGAAGGCGACUACCUGGCCUGUUCUUGACGCUGAGGCGCGAAAGCUAGGGGAGCAAACGGGAUUAGAUACCCCGGUAGUCCUAGCCGUAAACGAUGGACACUAGGUGUUGGUGGUAUCAACCCCGCCAGUGCCGAAGCUAACGCAUUAAGUGUCCCGCCUGGGGAGUACGGCCGCAAGGCUAAAACUCAAAGGAAUUGACGG
Molecule: ribosomal RNA, 565 nt
Filed under: uncultured bacterium
Lineage: Bacteria
Description: bacterial SSU rRNA
Rfam family: Bacterial small subunit ribosomal RNA
Source: RNAcentral